This 1343-nucleotide ribosomal RNA is filed under the name uncultured bacterium. RNAcentral's name for it is "16S ribosomal RNA". It matches the Rfam family "Bacterial small subunit ribosomal RNA", at positions 28 to 1378 of the family's 1533-position model. The record is from RNAcentral.
GACGAACGCUGGCGGCGUGCUUAACACAUGCAAGUCGAACGGAAAGGCCCUGCUUUUGUGGGGUGCUCGAGUGGCGAACGGGUGAGUAACACGUGAGUAACCUGCCCUUGACUUUGGGAUAACUUCAGGAAACUGGGGCUAAUACCGGAUAGGAGCUCCUGCUGCAUGGUGGGGGUUGGAAAGUUUCGGCGGUUGGGGAUGGACUCGCGGCUUAUCAGCUUGUUGGUGGGGUAGUGGCUUACCAAGGCUUUGACGGGUAGCCGGCCUGAGAGGGUGACCGGCCACAUUGGGACUGAGAUACGGCCCAGACUCCUACGGGAGGCAGCAGUGGGGAAUAUUGCACAAUGGGCGGAAGCCUGAUGCAGCAACGCCGCGUGCGGGAUGACGGCCUUCGGGUUGUAAACCGCUUUCGCCUGUGACGAAGCGUGAGUGACGGUAAUGGGUAAAGAAGCACCGGCUAACUACGUGCCAGCAGCCGCGGUGAUACGUAGGGUGCGAGCGUUGUCCGGAUUUAUUGGGCGUAAAGGGCUCGUAGGUGGUUGAUCGCGUCGGAAGUGUAAUCUUGGGGCUUAACCCUGAGCGUGCUUUCGAUACGGGUUGACUUGAGGAAGGUAGGGGAGAAUGGAAUUCCUGGUGGAGCGGUGGAAUGCGCAGAUAUCAGGAGGAACACCAGUGGCGAAGGCGGUUCUCUGGGCCUUUCCUGACGCUGAGGAGCGAAAGCGUGGGGAGCGAACAGGCUUAGAUACCCUGGUAGUCCACGCUGUAAACGGUGGGUACUAGGUGUGAGGUCCAUUCCACGGGUUCCGUGCCGUAGCUAACGCUUUAAGUACCCCGCCUGGGGAGUACGGCCGCAAGGCUAAAACUCAAAGGAAUUGACGGGGCCCCGCACAAGCGGCGGAGCAUGCGGAUUAAUUCGAUGCAACGCGUAGAACCUUACCUGGGUUUGACAUGGAUCGGGAGUGCUCAGAGAUGGGUGUGCCUCUUUUGGGGUCGGUUCACAGGUGGUGCAUGGCUGUCGUCAGCUCGUGUCGUGAGAUGUUGGGUUAAGUCCCGCAACGAGCGCAACCCUUGUUCACUGUUGCCAGCACGUUAUGGUGGGGACUCAGUGGAGACCGCCGGGGUCAACUCGGAGGAAGGUGGGGGUGACGUCAAGUCAUCAUGCCCCUUAUGUCCAGGGCUUCACGCAUGCUACAAUGGCUGGUACAGAGAGUGGCGAGCCUGUGAGGGUGAGCGAAUCUCGGAAAGCCGGUCUCAGUUCGGAUUGGGGUCUGCAACUCGACCUCAUGAAGUCGGAGUCGCUAGUAAUCACAGAUCAGCAACGCUGCGGUGAAUACGUUCCCGGG